This 253-nucleotide ribosomal RNA is filed under the name uncultured bacterium. RNAcentral describes it as "partial 16S ribosomal RNA". It matches the Rfam family "Bacterial small subunit ribosomal RNA", at positions 524 to 776 of the family's 1533-position model. The record is from RNAcentral.
UACGGAGGGAGCUAGCGUUGUUCGGAAUUACUGGGCGUAAAGCGCACGUAGGCGGUUUGUUAUGUCGGAUGUGAAAGCCCUUGGCUCAACUGAGGAAGUGCAUCCGAAACUGGCAAGCUAGAGUAUGUAAGAGGGUCGCGGAAUUCCCGGUGUAGAGGUGAAAUUCGUAGAUAUCGGGAGGAACACCGGUGGCGAAGGCGGCGACCUGGGACAAUACUGACGCUGAGGUGCGAAAGCGUGGGGAGCAAACAGG